AAGUCGAUCUUGGGAGGAAGAUUUGUCUUCUUCUUUUAAUUCAUUAAACACGGGGCAACUUUGGAAAUGUGGUUAUCUUGCACUUAUCGUAAAAUAAGUGUCUGAUAAGCGAGUAUUUUUGAGCUAUUUGGAUAGUGAAAGUUGGUGAAAGUGCUUUUCUCCCCAUUUUUCGUGAGACGGGGCAUCCCGACAUUUCUAUGCCCACGGCGGCCCGGCGUUAAAUCACAUUAUCAUUCAGUCCACGACAAAGUUUGUUUUUUGAUCGUGGUGGUCUGUCAUUAUUAAUUUUUUGAAAAUUCGUUUUCGAAAUAUAAAAAAAUACUUAUUUUUCUGAUAUCUUGAACAAUGGCGGAUUUUGUUUCUCUAUUGGUGGAUAUGGGAUUUGAUCCGGAGAAGUCGAAGAUGGCUGUCGAGAAGACGGGAAACCAAGGGGUCGAACCUGCAAUGGAGUGGAUACUUUCACACCCUGACGAACCAUCACCAUCAGCAGAGGGAGGAGGAUCAAAUGACAACACUUCAACGACAACCCCAGCGACUGAUACGAAAACUGAAGAAGUUCCAAAAUCGUGGAAAUGUGAAGAUUGCGGAAAACUGUUCGCAUCGAUGGACACCGUCGAGUUCCACGCAGCCAAAACGAACCAUUCCAACUUUUCAGAGUCCACUGAGGAAAAAAAGCCCUUGACAGCUGAAGAGAAGGCCGAACAGCAGAAAAAGUUGGUGGAACUCAUGAAGACGAAAAGGGUCGAGCGUGAAGCAAAAGAGAAACUUGAAGAAAUUGAGCGAGAAAAACAGCGAAUGGCGAGUGGGAAGGAUUUGAUCGAAGCCAAGCGUCGUCUCGAAGAACAAGAGAUGAAGGAGAUGAUCGCGCAAAAACAAAGAGAGAAGAGGGAAGACAAGGCGGCCAGGGACAGGGUCAAGGCUCAGAUCGAGGAGGACAGGUUGGCCCGGAAGGCCAAGUUUGGUGGUGGCGGAAGUGGUACUUCAAUCACGGAGAGUCCACCAGUGUCAGUAAAACCAAGUCCAAUGGAAGUCGACGUGGUCAAGAAGGACUACACUCACACAAAGUUGCAACUACGACUUCCCAGCGGAAAAACGAUGACACAAACUUUUGGGGUAAGCGAGCCCCUGGCCGCAGUCCGUGUAUACAUUGAAAUGAAUCGUGACGACGGAGUGGAAGGAAGCUUCAAUCUCAUUACAAACUUCCCAAGGAAAACCUUUGUUGAGGACGACUAUGACAAACCCCUUCUUACUUUGGGACGUUCUCGGACAUCACGUAAGCAUCAAUAAACAAUGCCGAUAGUGAAAUGAGCAGCAUUGCAUUGUUUUACACACCACAUACAGAAGUACAUUAAAGCCAAUUUAUUGUACGAAUUUAUGUUACAUAAAUCACUCAAUUAUUAAAUUCCAUUCUAACACUCAUAAAACUUAUGGACAUGCAAAUUACUGAUUACAUAAGGAAGUACAGGAAAUGGAACGUAACACAUCAAUUUGAUCGUCUUUGUGAUAUUAAAAUUUCCUCUUGGUGGAGAGGAACAAUAAAGCUGCUAAAAUGCUAAGACGUACAUUAUUCCUUGUCACCUUUACUUUCGCACUUUGUAAUUUUGAAUUUUACAAGAAAUUUGUUUAUUCUAAAAUGUAAAAAAGCUCAAAUUUAUUGUCAAUCUUCUUUACUAGAUUUUUUAACAUUGAUUCAAAACUCGGACGGAUUAGGAAUUUUUCAUAAACGGAGAAUAAUUGGGAAAGAG
RNA transcript from Folsomia candida, 1745 nucleotides. It is a transcript of the gene named UBX domain-containing protein 1, with no coding region annotated. Lineage: Eukaryota; Metazoa; Arthropoda; Collembola; Entomobryomorpha; Isotomidae. The record is from RefSeq and is a predicted model, not a curated record. The transcript is spliced from 10 exons.